This 828-nucleotide long non-coding RNA is filed under the name Manihot esculenta (cassava). RNAcentral describes it as "long non-coding RNA (MESC_LNC004169)". Lineage: Eukaryota; Viridiplantae; Streptophyta; Magnoliopsida; Malpighiales; Euphorbiaceae. The record is from RNAcentral.
CUUUCUUAAUCUGUUUCCUGUUUUUGAUCCCAGUCUCUUAGAUCUGAAGUUUAGAGGUACAGGGAUUUAUCCAUCAAUAUUGAUGAGUUGGUAUGUGAGAAUUAAGAAUCUAUCUUGAUGCUUGAUUUAAUUAAGUGGGUUGUACACAUGCAGUACUAUGUGAGUCCAGAUGGCCGCCAAUUUCGAUCAGAGAAAGAAGUUGUGAAGUACCUUGAUGAUAUGCAAGCUAACAAAAAUAAAGAGGUAUGUGAUCAUAGAAUCGAAAUAUUUCUAGAAAUACUCUUAUUGUGAAUCAAAACUUAUUCUCUUUUCUUUCAAUAAUACACUCUCCCCCUAGCUAAUUUCUCUCUUAUCUCAAGAACCUCAAAAAUAGAGAGAAAUUUUUUUUUUUUAUUGUAUGCAAUUUCAGUUUUCCAUCAAAGGCUGACAUCCUCCAUUGAUGAUCAGAUAUUGGUGGUGGUUGAAGAGGGAUAAGCAGACAUAUAUUUGUUUAUACGCAAAUAAAAACAUAGAGUGACAAGCUCAGAGGAAUUGGGAUUGUCGAAGGAAGACUACUCGGACAUGGACAAGCUCAGAUGUCCCCAUCCUACCGUAUGCUCAAUGGUUUUUCCUCACGAGAAAUAUUAGUAAACUUCUUGCAUCUGCAACAGCCUGUGUAGUUUGAAAUCUGGGAUUUGACGAGUUUAAAAUCUCUCACAUACACAUAUCCGAGUUUUUAUCAAUAUGCAAAUAAAAUUAUAUUCAUUUUUAUGUGAAUUUGAGUAAAACAUUAAUGCAAAUAUGGGUUUGUUAUAAACAAUGAUAUUUCAUAUAAUUUUAUAUUUUUCU